AGAGAAGGUAAGGGCUGCAUCUAUGGAAUUUCUCAUGAGAUGAUGAGACAUGAGCUACUGGAAAAUUUUCUGUGCUUUUCUGUGUCUGUGUCUCUUCUAGCCCAUGCUUCUGCAGAGGGCACACAGUAACACAAGUUUUCAGUGCCAGUGAAUGUAUAAAAUAGAGAACACUCUGAGCAUGUCUCCUCACAAAAAAAGUGGCUGGACUUGUUUUUCCCUCCUUUAUAGUAUACCCUCCCUGUGCCCAGCUCAAACAGGAACAAACUUCAUGAGUUAUCCUGUAAAUCCCAAGAUUGAGAAAGUCCCUCAAUAUUUUCUUUUGAAGAUCUCCAAUAUGAGAAGCAAUAAGGUAGUCGGGAAAUGGGUUGGGUACUGGAAAAACCGGAGUCCUAGUUAGUGUUCUCUUAAUAGAGUUUGGGCAAAAAUUUACCUGUCUCUGUUUUCUUAUUUGUAAAACAGGCAAACUAGAUGUAUAUCUAAGUAAGUAUUUUCUCUUGGUCCCCAGCUUCUAAUAGUGACCUGGAUCAUAAGUAAUUAAAGAAAACAAACAAGACAGUGCUGUAGAAAACCGGACAGUGAAGAACAUAAUCUCAGUUAAGGUAUUAUUGGUACCACAUCUAGAAAGGCCAGUGAAUCUGAUGUGUCUUCAUGAACAAGCAUUUCCCCUGCUCUAUAUUUAGAGCUGUGUCAUGGAAUUGGAAUGAAUACGCCUUGGAGUUUUCUUAGCUCUACUUGGGGACACAUAGUUUUGUAAACUUACUGUUAUAAACCAAUUUUCCUGGAAGGGACUUCAGCAUGUGGAUGACCCCGUGGGUAUUCAGUUAUUGGCUGGUGUCUUUCCUCUGAAUCAGAGCUAAAAAAUAUAUUUUAAAUAAACACUUGUUUUCUGGCUUGUUGAAGGUCUUACAUUUUUUAAAAAAAAUAUUUCUCUUUGCAUAAUAUGAAACCUGUAUAUUAGGUCAAAUUUGGGUACUUUGAUCUAUUUGCAUGUAUACCAAUGUAGUCUGUAGACACACACGUGACUCUCGUUGGUUUACUGGGAAUUGUAUUGAGCUGGCAAUGCCUUUCUGUGUCCCUCACUCAUUUGCUUCCAAAGAUAGAAUACUGCUGCAGAUUAAAGGAUAAGACUAUUUUUGAUCUCAACACCAAAGAACUCUCUCUGUGCAAAGAAACCAAGUAGACCCAAGGCCAUAGUUGUAUAAUCAUAAAAAAGAGUGGCUGAAUUGUUUUUGUCCCUCUCCUCACUAAUGUGGGCACCAAGAUACUUUGCUGAAGGCCUUUGAUUACUUAUGUACCUUGAUGCCAACUUUACAAGGACAAGGACCAGUUGAAUUAGGGAGUUAGUUGUUUCUAGUUCUCUAAGUAGAGAUUCAGCCUCACAUGAUAAUAACUCGCAAAAAAGUUCAAUUUGACAACCUGUAAAUCUUAAAUUUAGUUUAUCUCAAAUUCAUGUCCUGGUCCCAUUUAGGAAAAAUGGGCUUGUUUUCUCUUUUCUUUUCUCAUUUGAAUUGUUCUUUUCUGUCCAAACCCAAAACCUUAACUCCACCUCUGAAUAUUAUUUUUUUCUUUUAGAUGUUAGCAGUAAUCUAAACAGGCUGUAAUUUUUUUCUCUUAUAGUCUGAUUUUUAUCUUAUAUCUGUUACACCAAUUAGUAGAGGUUCUCAGAUUUUCAUACCUAAACAGGGGAGUAACCCUCCAAAUGAGUUCCCUUUUCCACUAUACCUAACAUACACACACACACACACACACACUUUUUGUAUAGACCUAAUACUACUAUUCUUUGAUACAGGACUCUUUUCUAGUUACUCUUCAAUGACUAAUGCCUUAACCUCAUUUAAAAAAAUAUUUUCUAGCUGCAGAUGGACACAAUACCUGUAUUUAUUUAUUCAUUUUUAUGUGGUGCGGAGGAUUGAACCCAGUGCCUCACACAUGUGAGGCAGGCACUCUACCACUGAGCUACAGCCCCAGCCCCCUUAACCUUAUUUUUUCACCCAGAAUGAGACUCUGAUACAUUUCAACUCACUUUCAUCAGCAUGUUUAUUUUGAGACCAUGAAGAAACCAAUAAACACUUUUCCCUUGGAUACUAAUUUAACCUUUGGCAGUUACUGUAUGCUUCAUCAUUCCUAUUUGAGAAAGUAUAAAACAUUCAGAGAAGUCUUCUAGGAGUUAUUAGAAUUAUUAAAAUGAUCAUAUGAGGAUGAUAAAGCUGCUCAAGAAGUUGAGUAUGGAGGUAGAUAAUAAUAAUAGUAGUAAUAGCAGUAAUAUUGGUGUAGUUAUCAAUGAUUGUCACUAUGUGCCAGAAAAUAUUCUGUACUUUUUUUUUUCAUUGACUUAAUUCUACAGCAACACUCUGAGGUUGGUCCUUGGUAUCUCACAGAUGUGAAAACAGAGGUUUUGACAGGCUCAGUACAAAGAGGUGCAUGCUUUAAUAAAGUCCCAAAGGAUUGCAAAAUCCCAGCAGCAGAGAUAAGCUAUCCAGCUGGAAGAAAGUUGUAAAAAGAAGUCAUAAAAUAGAGGAAAAUGACUGGGGAUUUUUCAUUUAAUUAAUUAAAAAUGUGACAUUGUUCAGUCUUAUAUAACUAUAGUUCUAUGAGUUCAUGAUUGUGUUUUUAACUGGGUGAUCAGCUCCUUGAGGAUCAAUAUUAAUUCUUUUUGUCUCCUGUAUAAGGGCUAACCUAGUGCUUUUCACAAAGUGGAAAUACUUUACUUAAAAAAUACUUUUUCUUGUUUCGAGCAGUGAGAUCCUGUGUUUCAGCUUUUGUGGUUGCUACUGUUCUAGAUACAUAUCUGAAGGUAGUCUGCUUAUAUGGAAAUAGGUUAGUAUACACUAACUGUAUAUAUAAUAUAUUUAUUUCUGUUUAAGAAUGUUUAAACAAUCUUAAAAAUGGGAUGGGAGGAAUCUUUGGAAAAUAAAAAAAAGAAUAGGUUAAGACUCUCCUCCCCAUGGACAAAAUAGGUUAGUAUAUACAUUUAUAUGCUAAUAUAAAUGUAAAUUAUGAUAUAUACCAAUAUAAAAUAAAUUAUGAUAUUUUCUGUUUUUAGUUUAUCAUGAAAUAUUUUUGGACCUGUCAUUCUCUGUUUAUUCCAAUCAUAAUUAUUUGCUAAGCAGUGUUUGGUUUACAAUUGAAAGGAUUAGAGCUGGUAUAGGUAAGGUGAUGUGAGUUGCCAAAGAUUUUCACAGAAUCAUGGUUCUCUGGAGUUCCUCAUUUUGGUAAGUGUGUCUUUGUUAGAGUUUCAGUGACUUUCAUUGGAAGGAUUAAGUAGGAUUAAAUAAAAAAAACAAAGUGAUUAUAACAGUCCAAUACAUCAUAGUGCUAUGUAAGUCUUAAAAGUCAUUGUUGUCAUCUUCACCAUCAUCACCAUCAACAUCAUCUUCACUCAUGUCCUUCCAUUUCUAGUUGUCAGUAAACAUCACUGUUGAAAAUGGUUCCUAAACUAACAUCAAUGUUGCACUUGGUGGUGUGGCCUUAGUAGAGGAUUUACAACCUUAGAUUUCAUACACUUAGUGGAUACACUUCAUUAAUGUACUACUGGUACCAUUGUUUCUCAUGCAUCUUAUGUAACAUUUUUGAGGGGCAGUAUAGUGUCCUCUUCUUGAAGAAAGUAUGUGAUACUCCCUGCACAAACCUCCUUUUACCUCCAACUCGAUCUUAUACUAUUCAAUAUCCUUGAUUCAAAACUGGAUUCUAUUUACAUGCCAUUUAAUAAAUUCAACUAUUUUUUUAAGUUCAUAUUAAAGUUAGUGAAAAUUAAUAGUCCUGAAACAUUAGAACUAAAAUUAAAUUUGUGGAUGAUAAGCAACAAUUUUUUACAAAUUAUUUUAUUCUUUAAUUUAAAUACACCUAACAAUUAUUUUUUUAAAAAAGAAAGAAGUUAUUUGUUAUUUAAAUAAAAAAAACAAAGUUUAGGUGAAACAUUUUGUUAGUUAUCCAUCUCUUCUUUCCGAGUCAAAUGACACAUAUUUGAACAGGGAUAAAUGUUCACUUGAAUUACAACCAUUUAAACAGAUUUAUCAAGAAAGCUGCAUGUGCAGAAAUAUUUACUUGACUUUAUUUUUAUGAAUUCCUAAUAUAGCCUUGAGCGCAGACACUUCUCAACACAUGAUUCUUUUAAUUCAAGUUUUCUGUAAUUCAUAUUUUUCUAGUAAAAGUUAUUGACUAUAAUAAUAAGAAUUUAAAAUAAAUGGAAUAUUUACAAAAUAUUUGUGUGGGUUGAUCACACAGGAAUCAUUCAUUUUUAAUAUUUGAUCAAUCCCAAUAUUACUGAGCAUAUACCCUGAAUUUAAAUGUUAUACUCACACAGCUAAGUUUAAGAAAGGGGAGGGUGGUUUAGGAUAUAACUCAAUGGUAGAGUACUUGCCUAGCAUGCGUGAAACUCUCUGUUUGAUCCCCAAUACUUAAAGAAAAAAUGAAGUGACAGUUAACAUAUUUUCUUUUUUUUUUAUUUUCCAAAGAUUCCUCCCAUCCCAUUUUUAAGAUAGUUUAAACAUUCUUAAACAGAUCUCUGAAUAUUCAAAGAAAUACAAUGAAAAUAUUGGGGAGUGUUCUAGUUAGUUAGUUUUUGUUGUUGUUGUUGUUUGCUGCUGUGACCAAAAGACAUGACAAGAACAAUUUUAGAAGAGGAAAUGUUUAUUUGGGGGCUCACAGUUUCAGAGGUUUGUUUUUUUUUUUUUUUCCAUAGAUGACCAACUCCAUUGCCCUGGGCCAGAUAUGAGGAAGAACAUCGUGAUAGAAGGGCAUGACAGAGGAAAGCACCUCAGGACAUGACACCAGGAAGCAGAGUCAGAGAAAGAGAGAGAGAGAGAGAGAGAGAGACUCUCCUCCCAAUGGACAAAAUACAUACCCCAAUGACACAUCCCAAAUCACCCACCUCCUCUAGCCACACCAUAUAUGCCUACAUUUACAACCCAGUUAAUCUGUAUCAGUGGAUUAAUACAUUGAUUAGGUUAAGGCUCUUAUUUCAUCUCUAAACCCCCUUGCAGGGUCUCACACAUGAACUUUGGGUGGACACUUCAUAUCUAAACCAUAACAGGGAGGCAACAUGUUUUCCUAGUCCUUCAUUUAUUAUAAACUUUAAUUCGUAGUCAGGAAAAAGUGGAAGAAUAAUAUUUUGGAAUAAAGUUGAAAUGAUUUAAUACUUUUCAUUUUUAAAUGUAUUGUGCUUACUUCUCUCAUAUUGCUACUAAUUAAAGUGUAAGAAUCUCAGAAACAGAGAAGCAUUCCCAUAGUACUUUCUUGAACAACAGUGUCACUGAAACACAAAGGAAUGGUAAGGUAAUUUUGAUGAAAAUUUCUGAUUGUGUGCUACAUAUAGUUCUGAAAAAUGUUUAUAAUUUUAAUAAAUAAUAGUAUCAAGUUACUUCGUGGAUUAAUUGAUAUAAUAGACCCACUGGUUACUUAUAUUUUAAUUGAUACAUGAUCUAAGCAAAUCAUAAUGGAAGUCUAUAGCAAUAAGAACAGAGUUUCACAAAAAUACAUAUUCAACAACAGGUUUAAAAGUGUUCAGAGUAACUUAACAUUCAAUUUUGUUUCUCUUUCUUUCUUUCUUUCUUUUUUUUGGUUUGUUUGUUUAAACUAUAUAUUUUAUUAAUUAUUCAAGAAAUUAUAAAUAUAAAUUUUAAAAUGUGAAAGGAUGACAUGCAGAUC
RNAcentral lists this long non-coding RNA (5646 nucleotides) under Marmota monax (woodchuck). Lineage: Eukaryota; Metazoa; Chordata; Mammalia; Rodentia; Sciuridae. The record is from RNAcentral.